AUGGCCUGGGCUCCUCUCCUACUCUCCCUCCUCACUCACUUCACAGGAUCCUGGGCCCAGUCUGUGCUGACUCAGCCAUCCUCAAUGUCUGGGAACCUGCGUGAGAGUGUUACCCUCUCCUGCACUGGGAGCAGCAGCAACAUUGGUAGUUACUAUCCCAGCUGGUACCAACAGAUCCCAGGAACAUCUCCUAAACUCCUCAUCUAUGGUAAUAACAAUAGACCUUCAGGGAUCCCAGACAGAUUCUCAGGUUCCAAGUCUGGCAACUCGGCCUCACUGACCAUCACUGGGCUUCAGGCAGAUGAUGAGGCUAAUUAUUACUGCUACUCCAUUGACAAUAGUAUGAGAGCUUACACAGUGCUCUAG
This is a non-coding RNA of Elephantulus edwardii (Cape elephant shrew), 366 nucleotides long. The record is from the annotation of a RefSeq genome assembly. NCBI's taxonomy places the organism in Eukaryota, Metazoa, Chordata, Mammalia, Macroscelidea, Macroscelididae.